This 444-nucleotide ribosomal RNA is filed under the name Stenotrophomonas sp. MB339. RNAcentral's name for it is "bacterial LSU rRNA". It matches the Rfam family "Bacterial large subunit ribosomal RNA", at positions 742 to 1184 of the family's 2925-position model. The record is from RNAcentral. Lineage: Bacteria; Pseudomonadati; Pseudomonadota; Gammaproteobacteria; Lysobacterales; Lysobacteraceae.
AGGUUGAAGUUCAGGUAACACUGAAUGGAGGACCGAACCGACUUACGUUGAAAAGUGAGCGGAUGAGGUGUGGGUAGCGGAGAAAUUCCAAUCGAACUUGGAGAUAGCUGGUUCUCUCCGAAAUAGCUUUAGGGCUAGCCUCAAGUGAUGAUUAUUGGAGGUAGAGCACUGUUUGGACGAGGGGCCCCUCUCGGGUUACCGAAUUCAGACAAACUCCGAAUGCCAAAUAAUUUAACUUGGGAGUCAGACUAUGGGUGAUAAGGUCCGUAGUCGAAAGGGAAACAGCCCAGACCACCAGCUAAGGUCCCAAAAUAUAUGUUAAGUGGAAAACGAUGUGGCGUUGCACAGACAACUCGGAUGUUGGCUUAGAAGCAGCCAUCAUUUAAAGAGUGCGUAAUAGCUCACUAGUCGAGUGACACUGCGCCGAAAAUGUACCGGGGCUAA